CCUACGGGAGGCAGCAGUGAGGAAUAUUGGUCAAUGGACGAGAGUCUGAACCAGCCAAGUAGCGUGAAGGAUGACUGCCCUAUGGGUUGUAAACUUCUUUUAUAUGGGAAUAAAAUGUUCCACGUGUGGGAUUUUGUAUGUACCAUAUGAAUAAGGAUCGGCUAACUCCGGGCCAGCAGCCGCGGUAAUACGGAGGAUCCGAGCGUUAUCCUGAUUUAUUGGGUUUAAAGGGAGCGUAGGUGGAUUGUUAAGUCAGUUGUGAAAGUUUGCGGCUCAACCGUAAAAUUGCAGUUGAAACUGGCAGUCUUGAGUACAGUAGAGGUGGGCGGAAUUCGUGGUGUAGCGGUGAAAUGCUUAGAUAUCACGAAGAACUCCGAUUGCGAAGGCAGUUCACUGGACUGCAACUGACACUGAGGCUCGAAAGUGUGGGUAUCAAACAGGAUUAGAUACCCCAGUAGUC
RNAcentral lists this ribosomal RNA (460 nucleotides) under uncultured bacterium. RNAcentral's name for it is "partial 16S ribosomal RNA". It matches the Rfam family "Bacterial small subunit ribosomal RNA", at positions 338 to 795 of the family's 1533-position model. The record is from RNAcentral.